Molecule: ribosomal RNA, 432 nt
Filed under: uncultured bacterium
Lineage: Bacteria
Description: partial 16S ribosomal RNA
Rfam family: Bacterial small subunit ribosomal RNA
Source: RNAcentral
AACGAAUGCUGGCGGCAUGCCUAACACAUGCCAGUCGAACGAGACCUUCGGGUCUAGUGGCGCACGGGUGCGUAACGCGUGGGAACCUGCCCUUAGGUUCGGAAUAACUCCCCGAAAGGGGUGCUAAUACCGGAUAAUGUCUUCGGACCAAAGAUUUAUCGCCUUUGGAUGGGCCCGCGUUGGAUUAGCUGGUUGGUAGGGUAAAAGCCUACCAAGGCGACGAUCCAUAGCUGGUCUGAGAGGAUGAUCAGCCACACUGGGACUGGGACACGGCCCAGACUCCUGAGGGGGGGAGCAGGGGGGAAAAUUGGAAAAGGGGGGAAAGCCGAACCCCGCAAGGCCGGGGAGGUGAUUAGGGCCUAAGGAUUGUAAACCUCUUUUUCCCGGGCUGAUAAGAAAGGACCCGGGGAAAAAACCCCCGCUAACUUCGUG